RNAcentral lists this ribosomal RNA (351 nucleotides) under Triticum aestivum (bread wheat). Its description in RNAcentral is "partial small subunit ribosomal RNA". The record is from RNAcentral. Lineage: Eukaryota; Viridiplantae; Streptophyta; Magnoliopsida; Poales; Poaceae.
AUGCUACGCAUUGGCGUGAUUACCCAUAGCAUGAGUCCAUUUGCUGCCCCAGUCCUCUUGGCGAAGAAAAAGGAUGGCACGUGGCGGUUCUGUGUGGAUUACAGACGCCUGAGCCUGGUGACCAUCAAGAACAAACUUUCUCUUCUAGUAAUCCAUGAGCUCUUGGAUGAAUUACCCGGGGCAGCCUUCUUUACAAAGACUGACUUGCGCGCGGGGUAUCACCAAAUAUGCAUGCGUGCGGGCGAUGAGGAGAAGACGAAUUUCAAGACUCACCACGGCCACUUCGAGUUCCGAGUCAUGCCGUUUGGUGUCACAAACGACCCUCCCACCUUUCAGUGUGUGAUGAACUAA